CGCCCGCCUUUGGCUGCGGAGUCGGCUGGUGGAUGUACUCCGGUGACACGCUCUCCAUAGAUGUGUUCGUGGGAGAGGCAAGCACCGGACCGGCUAAUGGUAACUACAAGCUCUUAUUAAUGAAAUAAUAAUGAGUGAACCAGAGAGCAAAUAAGCACCACAUGCGCGAGCCGCCAGCGAUUCCAUUGAAUCAGACUUCAUUUUUUACUAGGUUAAUGCUCGUGCGUUGCUACAGGUGACAAAAAUCAUAUCCCAAAUGUAAUCUUGGAAGUUUGGAAGUUGGCAUUGCUGAUGUCUUGUUCGAUUUUCACUUGAGCCACCAUAGCUUGGAACAAAAAUCAUAUCCCAAAUGUAACCACUAUACAGCUCAGCUUCUUUUUUUUUUCACUUGAGCCACCAGUUUGGAAGUUGGAUUUUCAGGCAGAGUGGAUAAAGGGACAUGCCUCGGUGUGUCUUGAUGGGAUCGGCAGGGGAAGGCGCAGGAGGUGCAAGCUGCAGCCAAAUUUAGGGGAUGAAGAUUGAAGAGCAAAAAGAGUGACCUGGGGCAAGGGGUUCCUCCCAUCAAGGCUUCUUUAGAACAGAAAUCCAAACAUUUAGUUAUUAUCUGUUAUCCUUUUGAGUUUCUGUUAUGGCAAUAUUGGGAGUGACCCUGACAGAACGUCCCUGGUGCUGCAAAACAGUUGUAAGAAUUUUUUAUCUUGAUAGUAACCAAUGGACUAAUGGUUCGAGUCCUUGUCUUA
This is a long non-coding RNA of Panicum virgatum (switchgrass), 740 nucleotides long. RefSeq lists it as uncharacterized. NCBI's taxonomy places the organism in Eukaryota, Viridiplantae, Streptophyta, Magnoliopsida, Poales, Poaceae. The transcript has 2 exons. The record is from RefSeq and is a predicted model, not a curated record.